Molecule: ribosomal RNA, 465 nt
Filed under: uncultured bacterium
Lineage: Bacteria
Description: partial 16S ribosomal RNA
Rfam family: Bacterial small subunit ribosomal RNA
Source: RNAcentral
GACGAACGCUGGCGGCGUGCUUAACACAUGCAAGUCGAACGGAAAGGCCCUGCUUGCCGGGUACUCGAGUGGCGAACGGGUGAGUAACACGUGGGUGAUCUGCCCUGCACUUCGGGAUAAGCUUGGGAAACUGGGUCUAAUACCGGAUAGGACCGCACUUUAGUGUGUGUGGUGGAAAGUUUUUUCGGUGUAGGAUGAGCUCGCGGCCUAUCGGCUUGUUGGUGGGGUAAUGUCCUACCAAGGCGGCGACGGGUAGCCGGCCUGAGAGGGUGUACGGCCACAUUGGGACUGAGAUACGGCCCAGACACCGACGGGAGGCAGCAGGGGGGAAUAUUGCACAAUGGGCGCAAGCCGGAUGCAGCGACGCCGCGGGGGGGAGGAAGGCCUUCGGGUUGUAAACUCCUUUCGCUAGGGACGAAGCUUUUUGUGACGGUACCUAGAGAAGAAGCACCGGCUAACUACGUG